This 293-nucleotide ribosomal RNA is filed under the name uncultured bacterium. RNAcentral describes it as "partial 16S ribosomal RNA". It matches the Rfam family "Bacterial small subunit ribosomal RNA", at positions 775 to 1067 of the family's 1533-position model. The record is from RNAcentral.
GGAUUAGAUACCCUGGUAGUCCACGCCGUAAACGAUGUCUACUAGUUGUCGGUGGUCUUGUACUGCUGGUAACGCAGCUAACGCGAUAAGUAGACCGCCUGGGGAGUACGGCCGCAAGGUUAAAACUCAAAUGAAUUGACGGGGGCCCGCACAAGCGGUGGAGCAUGUGGUUUAAUUCGAAGCAACGCGAAGAACCUUACCUGGCCUUGACAUCCUGCGAAUCCUCUAGAGAUAGGGGAGUGCCUUCGGGAACGCAGAGACAGGUGCUGCAUGGCUGUCGUCAGCUCGUGUUG